Molecule: ribosomal RNA, 429 nt
Filed under: Chloroflexota bacterium
Lineage: Bacteria; Bacillati; Chloroflexota
Description: Chloroflexi bacterium partial 16S ribosomal RNA
Rfam family: Bacterial small subunit ribosomal RNA
Source: RNAcentral
UGGGGAAUAUUGCACAAUGGGCGCAAGCCUGAUGCAGCCAUGCCGCGUGUGUGAAGAAGGCCUUCGGGUUGUAAAGCACUUUCAGCGGGGAGGAAGGCGGUGAGGUUAAUAACCUCAUCGAUUGACGUUACCCGCAGAAGAAGCACCGGCUAACUCCGUGCCAGCAGCCGCGGUAAUACGGAGGGUGCAAGCGUUAAUCGGAAUUACUGGGCGUAAAGCGCACGCAGGCGGUCUGUCAAGUCGGAUGUGAAAUCCCCGGGCUCAACCUGGGAACUGCAUUCGAAACUGGCAGGCUAGAGUCUUGUAGCGGGGGGUAGAAUUCCAGGUGUAGCGGUGAAAUGCGUAGCGAUCUGGAGGAAUACCGGUGGCGAAGGCGGCCCCCUGGACAAAGACUGACGCUCAGGUGCGAAAGCGUGGGGAGCAAACAGG